GGCUUAGCUCAGUUGGUAGAGCACCGCUCUUGUAAAGCGGGGGUCGUGGGUUCGAGCCCCUCAGCCG
This 67-nucleotide transfer RNA is filed under the name Microbacterium faecale. It matches the Rfam family "tRNA". From Rfam's summary of the family: Transfer RNA (tRNA) molecules are approximately 80 nucleotides in length. Their secondary structure includes four short double-helical elements and three loops (D, anti-codon, and T loops). Lineage: Bacteria; Bacillati; Actinomycetota; Actinomycetes; Micrococcales; Microbacteriaceae. The record is from RNAcentral.